GACGAACGCUGGCGGCGUGCUUAACACAUGCAAGUCGAACGGAAAGGCCCUGCUUUUGUGGGGUGCUCGAGUGGCGAACGGGUGAGUAACACGUGAGUAACCUGCCCUUGACUUUGGGAUAACUUCAGGAAACUGGGGCUAAUACCGGAUAGGAGCUCCUGCUGCAUGGUGGGGGUUGGAAAGUUUCGGCGGUUGGGGAUGGACUCGCGGCUUAUCAGCUUGUUGGUGGGGUAGUGGCUUACCAAGGCUUUGACGGGUAGCCGGCCUGAGAGGGUGACGGGCAAAAUUGGGACUGAGAUAGGGCCAAGAUCCCUCCGGGAGGAAGCAGUGGGGAAUAUUGAACAAUGGGCGGAAGCCUGAUGCAGCAACGCCGCGGCGGGGAUGACGGCCUUCGGGUUGUAAACCGCUUUCGCCUGUGACGAAGCGUGAGUGACGGUAAUGGGUAAAGAAGCACCGGCUAACUACGUG
RNAcentral lists this ribosomal RNA (468 nucleotides) under uncultured bacterium. RNAcentral's name for it is "partial 16S ribosomal RNA". It matches the Rfam family "Bacterial small subunit ribosomal RNA", at positions 28 to 507 of the family's 1533-position model. The record is from RNAcentral.